UAUUGGACAAUGGGCGCAAGCCUGAUCCAGCAAUACCGCGUGUGUGAAGAAGGCCUUAGGGUUGUAAAGCACUUUCAAUUGGGAGGAAAACCUGCCGGUCAAUACCCGGUAGCUCGACAUUACCUUUAGAAGAAGCACCGGCUAACUCCGUGCCAGCAGCCGCGGUAAUACGGAGGGUGCGAGCGUUAAUCGGAAUUACUGGGCGUAAAGCGUGCGUAGGCGGUUCGUUAAGUCAGAUGUGAAAGCCCUGGGCUCAACCUGGGAACUGCAUUUGAAACUGGCGGACUAGAGUUUAGUAGAGGGGAGUGGAAUUUCAGGUGUAGCGGUGAAAUGCGUAGAUAUCUGAAGGAACACCAGUGGCGAAGGCGACUCCCUGGACUAGAACUGACGCUGAGGACGAAA
This 402-nucleotide ribosomal RNA is filed under the name uncultured bacterium. RNAcentral describes it as "bacterial SSU rRNA". It matches the Rfam family "Bacterial small subunit ribosomal RNA", at positions 362 to 758 of the family's 1533-position model. The record is from RNAcentral.